GGCAAUCAGACCUCAGGCGGUGGUGAGCACUAAGUGAGGUGACAUAACGCACUCCACACAGAAUGGACACUCGCAUGAUCGCUGUUAUUAUUAUUAAUCCUGCCUUUGGUGGCAGGGGAGACUUCAGAAAGGUCUGUGGAUAUUUUCACUGGCUCAGAAAAUCUGGGAAGUCGGAGUGGCCCAAGAGCGGUGAGAAUCUGCUGGUGACCUUCAACUCACAUAGUGUUUCUGCUAGAAAUCCAGAGGGAAUUGGAAGUUGGGCCAGUUGAGCAGACUCAAGCAAAUUGGUAGAUUGAGCCCAGUAGAGCAGAGGUAUUUGAGGCUGCCAAAACCCAGCAAGUUGAGGCCUCACGCUCAGGGAAACUUCUGGGGGACAAGGAGGAGGGGCGUCAGUUCAGACUUUGGUUGAGUAAUUGCACAUUUCUAAUUGGGCCUAAGGCUUGCCUGGGGGCAGGAUGGCUCUCCGAGCCCAGCUUGGCUGCCGGCCUCCUUCUCUGAGAGCCUGAAAAAAAAUCGAAGCGUCCUGGGCUCCCCUUGACCCCCGCGCGGAGCAGAGAUGAAGCGUCAUUCCAGCACGAGUUGGGGACACGGGGGACACACCGACAGCAGUCGUUGCAGGCCAAGUGCUGUAGUAUGUGGUAGCAGUCUACCCUCCCCUGGGAAGACUUCCAGUGGCAAAGUUCAUGCGAACUCCCUUGCAGCUCGGCCCGUCUUUGUCUUUGACGUGAAGGAGGAGAGGGAGUUAAAUCACGAGUCCCAGCCAACAGGCUGUGUGCAAGGACUGCGUGACGAGGAGGAGCACAGCAUGGCCAGCGUGGCUGGAGCACGAAGUAUGGGGGCAGGGCAGAGGCCAGCCCCCCACCGCCUGUGGAUCCUGCCAGACACAGUGGGGGAAAUGGAAGGCCUGAAACGCGGGGUGGUAGAGUGGGGGCUCUAGAACACCAUCAGAUUUGCAAUUUUGAAAAGCCUAUUCCGGUCAGUGCCGGGACAGCAUGGACUGGAGCGGGUCCAGAGUGGACACAGGAAGACCAGCGGGGAGGGUACUGACGUCGGCUGAUGAACACAGUCUGAGGCCUAUUCAUGCUCUUCUGUGUCCUUUUGUGAACGCAGACGCGUACUGUAUAGACGUGCGGACUGGAGCCGACUUGUUCUUGUGCUGUUUAAUCUGACUCAUCUCCUUUGUAAACAGUAAGGUUAUUGAGGGCGGAGAUUCAGCGUUUGUAUUUUUUCCUGUGCUGUAACUCCCCCUGACACCAGGAGCACAAUGGGUAUUGAGACUGUGACUACGGAAAGUCACCCCGUGGGGCUGCCUGAAGCAGCCCGAAGUCACAUUUCUCGACACAGUGAUAUCGAUAAUUAGUGCUUUUGGUUUCUAGACAUUUGGAUGGGGGAUUUGAUCAUGGCAAAGAAAAAGCUGGGUAGCUAAACGCUUACUACUCAAAGCGUGGUCUGUGGACCAGCAGCAUCAGCAGCACCUGGAAGCUUGUAAGAAAUAAAAAAUCUCAAAUAAAUAAAUAAAUAAAUAAA
Molecule: long non-coding RNA, 1527 nt
Filed under: Ursus maritimus (polar bear)
Lineage: Eukaryota; Metazoa; Chordata; Mammalia; Carnivora; Ursidae
Description: lncRNA (ENSUMAG00000013287.1)
Source: RNAcentral